Long non-coding RNA from Equus caballus (horse), 1679 nucleotides. The record is from Ensembl. Lineage: Eukaryota; Metazoa; Chordata; Mammalia; Perissodactyla; Equidae.
CUCUUGGUGACACCUGUACCUGGAGUGCCCAGUAGGCACUAGUGUGGGAAGUAUUUGAUCUGCUGGACUGUGUUUGGUCACAGACUUUAUUGAAUGCCUGCCAUGCGUUGACUCCAGAGAGAUGAAGCCGACUUAGACUCAGCCUGUCCUCUAGGAAUUCACAGAUAACAAGAAGAAAGUGCCCAAGACAUCUAAUUAGACUCAGCCUCUGACGCUCACUGGAACCCACCUGAAUCAGCUGCUCCCCAGAAGAAGAUUACUACACACAAGGUGGACUGACCCAGGCCGCUCCUUGGCCCAGAUCUGCAGUUUAGACCCCACCCUGUCAUCAGCUGCCUUGAAGUGGUCUUACAAUCAUGUCCCUGCAGUGCCUGUGGCAGGCAUCAUGCAAGUUGCCCUUGAAGAUACCCAGAUGUCUUGGUGACAGGUUCCUGACCACCUGGAUGAGAGGUGGGCCAUCAGAUCGAUAUCACACAGGGGCCGUGAGCCCAGACUGCAGGCAUGUGCAUGUGAGGUUGGAGGUGGUGGAAAGAAGGCAGAUCCUUUGGCUACGCCCAAAGUGCCUGGCAACAAAGAGUGUCCAGCUCACAUUUCAAAUCUUUCCUUUCCUCUUCUUUCUCCUUCCUCACUGGCUACGGCCAUCCAUAAAGAGCUCCAAGCCCUCAUGCAUAGAGGGUGUUCAAUGAGUGGGGAAGGCCCAGUCUGUGCUGGAGGGACAGCUGCCUCCACGUUCAGAGACCUGCAGCUCGUAAGACAAAGUUUGUCCCCCAGCUGUUUCUUCAUCAUCACCCGGUAUCCCUUGAAAUUUGCUGACUCUUCAUUUUCGUGGUGAGGGGCCUUAUAUUCUGGUUGGAAGGGAGGACGGGGGGAUAGGAAGGAUUGUGAGAAACGUGGUUCUCUAUUUUCAGAAUAAAGAACUUCAGCCUCUCCACUUCCCCAAGUGAGGCUUUCCCUACAGGCACAUUUUCUGGUUCAGAGGCUGCCCAAGAAGGACAGUGAGGGUCAUUUCAAAUCACAUCUCGUUGCUCUCUGAGACCUGGCUUCCCAGAGAUAAGGCGUGGUCGUCUGGAAAGGAGCCUGUUGGAUAGGCGAAGUUCUGCUGGACCACAUUCCAAGGAACUCGUCUGACACUCCACUCUUCUGAGAUUGGCUCCCAUUAGCAGUUACUGGAAACAAGCAGGUUGUCAACAGGGCACGGCCAGGAGUGUGGUGUGUAGUAGAGCGUUUCAUGGGGUAGACCACUGAUGAGGUGCAGACAUGAACCCAGAAGUCCAGCAAGGCAGCAGCGAUGGGCCUGAUAGGGUCUGAGGAUUUCUCCUCCAGGAGCUCCUGGCCGGGCCAGGGCUCCUCUGUCGGUUUGCUCAGCAUCGACAGAGCCCAGCUCGAGACUUAGAUUCUUGAUCCGUCAGAGAUGCACGGCAACUCAACUGCAGAAAGCAGGGUGGGGAAGCUGUAUUACAAGUCAUAACAAGUUCACUGGAAACAUGGGCCAGAUGCUUGCUUCUAAAAAGAAAUGCUCCUCUCAAAGCAGGGCUCUUUCGAGUGCACCCCGAGAUGUGCCUGGGUGGGUCCUUCCUCUGUGUCUUUCUGUCUAUGCCAGGGUCUCGAUGUCUGUAGCCACUGUGAGACACACCCCUGCUAAGAGACUGCUUACAGCAGGGCCGCGCAUCCUUUCUGAG